GUGCCAGCCGCCGCGGUAAUACAGAGGGGGCUAGCGUUAUUCGGAAUUAUUGGGCGUAAAGGGCGCGUAGGCGGCCUGAUGUGUCCACGGUGAAAUCCCUCGGCUCAACCGAGGAACUGCCGUGGAAACUGUCGGGCUCGAGGCCGGGAGAGGGUGGUGGAAUUCCCAGUGUAGCGGUGAAAUGCGUAGAUAUUGGGAGGAACACCAGUGGCGAAGGCGGCCACCUGGACCGGUUCUGACGCUGAGGCGCGAAAGCGUGGGGAGCAAACAGGAUUAGAAACCCCGGUAGUCC
RNAcentral lists this ribosomal RNA (292 nucleotides) under uncultured bacterium. RNAcentral's name for it is "partial 16S ribosomal RNA". It matches the Rfam family "Bacterial small subunit ribosomal RNA", at positions 505 to 796 of the family's 1533-position model. The record is from RNAcentral.